GAUGAACGCUCGCUCCAGGCUUAACACAUGCAAGUCGAGGGGCAGCAUGGUCUUAGCUUGCUAAGGCCGAUGGCGACCGGCGCACGGGUGAGUAACACGUAUCCAACCUGCCGUCUACUCUUGGACAGCCUUCUGAAAGGAAGAUUAAUACAAGAUGGCAUCAUGAGUCCGCAUGUUCACAUGAUUAAAGGUAUUCCGGUAGACGAUGGGGAUGCGUUCCAUUAGAUAGUAGGCGGGGUAACGGCCCACCUAGUCUUCGAUGGAUAGGGGUUCUGAGAGGAAGGUCCCCCACAUUGGAACUGAGACACGGUCCAAACGCCUACGGGAGGCAGCAGUGAGGAAUAUUGGUCAAUGGGCGCAGGCCUGAACCAGCCAAGUAGCGUGAAGGAUGACUGCCCUAUGGGUUGUAAACUUCUUUUAUAAAGGAAUAAAGUCGGGUAUGUAUACCCGUUUGCAUGUACUUUAUGAAUAAGGAUCGGCUAACUCCGUG
RNAcentral lists this ribosomal RNA (490 nucleotides) under uncultured bacterium. Its description in RNAcentral is "partial 16S ribosomal RNA". It matches the Rfam family "Bacterial small subunit ribosomal RNA", at positions 28 to 507 of the family's 1533-position model. The record is from RNAcentral.